RNAcentral lists this unclassified non-coding RNA (240 nucleotides) under fungal sp. Its description in RNAcentral is "partial internal transcribed spacer region". The stretch from base 1 to 46 matches the Rfam family "Eukaryotic small subunit ribosomal RNA", at positions 1786 to 1831 of the family's 1831-position model. The record is from RNAcentral. Lineage: Eukaryota; Fungi. RNAcentral also lists the same sequence under 2 other names.
AAGUCGUAACAAGGUCUCCGUUGGUGAACCAGCGGAGGGAUCAUUACUGAGUGUAAAAACUCCCAAACCCAUUGUGAACAUACCUCUGUUGCUUCGGCGGAUGCGCCCCGGGCGCGCCCUCACAGGCGUGCCCCGGACCAAGGCGCCCGCCGGGGAACCGAAACUCUUGUUUUCUUAGAGAAUCUCUGAGUGUGAUUAUAAAUCAAAUCAAAACUUUCAACAACGGAUCUCUUGGCUCUA